GCGCUGGUAGCUCAGCUGGAUAGAGCAUUUCUUUGCGGAAGAAAAGGUCGCAGGUUCGAAUCCUGCUCAGCGCA
Molecule: transfer RNA, 74 nt
Filed under: Candidatus Dojkabacteria bacterium
Lineage: Bacteria
Description: tRNA-Arg
Rfam family: tRNA
About the family: Transfer RNA (tRNA) molecules are approximately 80 nucleotides in length. Their secondary structure includes four short double-helical elements and three loops (D, anti-codon, and T loops). Further hydrogen bonds mediate the characteristic L-shaped molecular structure. tRNAs have two regions of fundamental functional importance: the anti-codon, which is responsible for specific mRNA codon recognition, and the 3' end, to which the tRNAs corresponding amino acid is attached (by aminoacyl-tRNA synthetases). tRNAs cope with the degeneracy of the genetic code in two manners: having more than one tRNA (with a specific anti-codon) for a particular amino acid; and 'wobble' base-pairing, i.e. permitting non-standard base-pairing at the 3rd anti-codon position.
Source: RNAcentral